UGCUUGCAUUUAGAGAACGUCUGCUGC
Molecule: non-coding RNA, 27 nt
Filed under: Mus musculus (house mouse)
Lineage: Eukaryota; Metazoa; Chordata; Mammalia; Rodentia; Muridae
Source: RNAcentral